RNAcentral lists this non-coding RNA (107 nucleotides) under Planococcus massiliensis. RNAcentral's name for it is "pan motif". It matches the Rfam family "pan motif". The record is from RNAcentral. Lineage: Bacteria; Bacillati; Bacillota; Bacilli; Caryophanales; Caryophanaceae.
GGGCAGUAUCGCUUGCGAACUGCACCUGAAAUCUAUGGCAAUUUUGCAGUAAAUACAAUUUGAUAGCCGACAUCUGCCUUGAUCUACUUAUAUGACAGGGACGGAGG